UUAGAGUUUGAUCCUGGCUCAGGACGAACGCUGGCGGCGCGCCUAACACAUGCAAGUCGAACGAGCGAGAGAGAGCUUGCUUUCUCGAGCGAGUGGCAAACGGGUGAGUAACGCGUGAGGAACCUGCCUCAAAGAGGGGGACAACAGUUGGAAACGACUGCUAAUACCGCAUAAGCCCACGGCCCGGCAUCGGGCUGAGGGAAAAGGAUUUAUUCGCUUCAGGAUGGACUCGCGUCCAAUUAGCUAGUUGGUGAGGUAACGGCCCACCAAGGCGACGAUUGGUAGCCGGACUGAGAGGUUGAACGGCCACAUUGGGACUGAGACACGGCCCAGACUCCUACGGGAGGCAGCAGUGGGGGAUAUUGCACAAUGGGGGAAACCCUGAUGCAGCGACGCCGCGUGGAGGAAGAAGGUCUUCGGAUUGUAAACUCCUGUUGUUGAGGAAGAUAAUGACGGUACCCAACAAGGAAGUGACGGCUAACUACGUGCCAGCAGCCGCGGUAAAACGUAGGUCACAAGCGUUGUCCGGAAUUACUGGGUGUAAAGGGAGCGCAGGCGGGAAGACAAGUUGGAAGUGAAAUCUAUGGGCUCAACCCAUAAACUGCUUUCAAAACUGUUUUUCUUGAGUAGUGCAGAGGUAGGCGGAAUUCCCGGUGUAGCGGUGGAAUGCGUAGAUAUCGGGAGGAACACCAGUGGCGAAGGCGGCCUACUGGGCACCAACUGACGCUGAGGCUCGAAAGUGUGGGUAGCAAACAGGAUUAGAUACCCUGGUAGUACACACCGUAAACGAUGAUUACUAGGUGUUGGAGGAUUGACCCCUUCAGUGCCGCAGUUAACACAAUAAGUAAUCCACCUGGGGAGUACGACCGCAAGGUUGAAACUCAAAGGAAUUGACGGGGGCCCGCACAAGCAGUGGAGUAUGUGGUUUAAUUCGACGCAACGCGAAGAACCUUACCAAGUCUUGACAUCCCUUGACGAUGCUGGAAACAGUAUUUCUCUUCGGAGCAAGGAGACAGGUGGUGCAUGGUUGUCGUCAGCUCGUGUCGUGAGAUGUUGGGUUAAGUCCCGCAACGAGCGCAACCCUUAUGGUCAGUUACUACGCAAGAGGACUCUGGCCAGACUGCCGUUGACAAAACGGAGGAAGGUGGGGAUGACGUCAAAUCAUCAUGCCCUUUAUGACUUGGGCUACACACGUACUACAAUGGCGUUAAACAAAGAGAAGCAAGACCGCGAGGUGGAGCAAAACUCAGAAACAACGUCCCAGUUCGGACUGCAGGCUGCAACUCGCCUGCACGAAGUCGGAAUUGCUAGUAAUCGUGGAUCAGCAUGCCACGGUGAAUACGUUCCCGGGCCUUGCACACACCGCCCGUCA
This 1372-nucleotide ribosomal RNA is filed under the name uncultured bacterium. Its description in RNAcentral is "16S ribosomal RNA". It matches the Rfam family "Bacterial small subunit ribosomal RNA". The record is from RNAcentral.